RNAcentral lists this ribosomal RNA (392 nucleotides) under uncultured bacterium. RNAcentral's name for it is "partial 16S ribosomal RNA". It matches the Rfam family "Bacterial small subunit ribosomal RNA", at positions 523 to 918 of the family's 1533-position model. The record is from RNAcentral.
AUACGGAGGAUCCGAGCGUUAUCCGGAUUUAUUGGGUUUAAAGGGUGCGCAGGCGGCCAUUUAAGUCAGCGGUUAAAUCGUGGGGCUCAACCCCAUUCUGCCGUUGAUACUGGGUGGCUUGAUUGCGGUCGAGGUUGGCGGAAUUCGUUGUGUAGCGGUGAAAUGCAUAGAUAUGACGAAGAACACCGAUUGCGUAGGCAGCUGACCAGAUCGCAAAUGACGCUCAUGCACGAAAGUGCUGGGAUCGAACAGGAUUAGAUACCCUGGUAGUCCGCACAGUAAACGAUGAAUACUUGUUUUCGGCGAUAUAAUGUCGGAGGCAAAGCGAAAGCGAUAAGUAUUCCACCUGGGGAGUACGCCGGCAACGGUGAAACUCAAACGAAUUGACGGGG